RNAcentral lists this ribosomal RNA (503 nucleotides) under uncultured bacterium. RNAcentral describes it as "partial 16S ribosomal RNA". It matches the Rfam family "Bacterial small subunit ribosomal RNA", at positions 28 to 507 of the family's 1533-position model. The record is from RNAcentral.
GACGAACGCUGGCGGCGUGCUUAACACAUGCAAGUCGAACGGUGAAGCGCUUUCCUUUUUGGUUGGUGUGGAUGAGUGGCGAACGGGUGAGUAACACGUGAGUAACCUGCCCCCUUCUUCUGGAUAACCGCAUGAAAGUGUGGCUAAUACUGGAUAUUCUGCGCCUGCUGCAUGGUGGGUGUGGGAAAGAUUGUGCCUUUGGGUGUUUUCGGUGGGGGUUGGGCUCGCGGCCUAUCAGCUUGUUGGUGGGGUGAUGGCCUACCAAGGCGGUGACGGGUAGCGGUGCUGGGAGGGGGGACGGUCACACUGGGACUGAGACACGGCCCAGACUCCUACGGGAGGCAGCAGUGGGGAAUAUUGCACAAUGGGCGCAAGCCUGAUGCAGCGACGCCGGGCGAGGGAGGGAGGCCUUCGGGUUGUGAACCUGUUUGGCGAGGGAAGCAGGCCGGGUCUUUGUGGGUGGGUUGACGGUAGCUGGAUAAGAAGCGCCGGCUAACUACGUG